This 301-nucleotide ribosomal RNA is filed under the name uncultured bacterium. RNAcentral describes it as "partial 16S ribosomal RNA". It matches the Rfam family "Bacterial small subunit ribosomal RNA", at positions 509 to 808 of the family's 1533-position model. The record is from RNAcentral.
CAGUAGCCGCGGUAAUACAGAGGGUGCGAGCGUUAAUCGGAUUUACUGGGCGUAAAGCGUGCGUAGGCGGCUUCUUAAGUCGGAUGUGAAAUCCCUGAGCUUAACUUAGGAAUUGCAUUCGAUACUGGGAAGCUAGAGUAUGGGAGAGGAUGGUAGAAUUCCAGGUGUAGCGGUGAAAUGCGUAGAGAUCUGGAGGAAUACCGAUGGCGAAGGCAGCCAUUUGGCCUAAUACUGACGCUGAGGUACGAAAGCAUGGGGAGCAAACAGGAUUAGAACACCAGUAGUCCCUGUCUCUUAUACA